This 508-nucleotide ribosomal RNA is filed under the name uncultured bacterium. RNAcentral describes it as "partial 16S ribosomal RNA". It matches the Rfam family "Bacterial small subunit ribosomal RNA", at positions 28 to 507 of the family's 1533-position model. The record is from RNAcentral.
GACGAACGCUGGCGGCGUGCCUAAUACAUGCAAGUCGAACGCUUCUUUCCUCCCGAGUGCUUGCACUCAAUUGGAAAGCGGAGUGGCGGACGGGUGAGUAACACGUGGGUAACCUACCCAUCAGAGGGGGAUAACACUUGGAAACAGGUGCUAAUACCGCAUAACAGUUUAUGCCGCAUGGCAUAAGAGUGAAAGGCGCUUUCGGGUGUCGUUGAUGGAUGGACCCGCGGUGCAUUAGCUAGUUGGUGAGGUAACGGCUCACCAAGGCCACGAUGCAUAGCCGACCUGAGAGGGUGGUCGGCCACACUGGGACUGGGACACGGCCCAGACUCCUACGGGAGGCAACAGUAGGGAAUCUUCGGCAAUGGACGAAAGUCUGACCGAGCAACGCCGCGUGAGUGAAGAAGGUUUUCGGAUCGUAAAACUCUGUUGUUAGAGAAGAACAAGGACGUUAGUAACUGAACGUCCCCUGACGGUAUCUAACCAGAAAGCCACGGCUAACUACGUG